CAACAAACCCAAAUCUCGAAACUCUUACAAGAUUUAAACCCUCAUUUCACAAGAUAUUACACACUGAACUGACUGUGCAACAAUCUUGAACAAGAUUAAUAAGCAAAUUAAACUACUCUUAACAUGGGUUCAUGAUCAUAUAUCACACAAAAAACCUUAUUUCCCAACAAAAUGUCACAACAAUAUUCGAACACAUCAUAAUACCCUUCAAAUAGCAAACUACAUUGGUCAUAUUGCAAGUUCAUAUGAAAUCAACACCAAGGAUAAAUGUGACUUUCAACAGAAUAAAACAGGUCAUGUAACUAGAAUAAACCUUCUACUGUAAUAUCCUAACAGUCCCAAAUUAACACAAGAAUAAAAACUCCACUAUCCAAACCAAAAAUUAAUUAGAAUAUACAGUGAGUCGGGAUAUUAAAACACCAUAUAAUGAGGAAAUACAACUCAAUUCAUUUACAAAAUUGAGGACAUACUUCAAACUCUAUUUUUUCAUUUCAUUCUUCAAUUCGAGCCUCACAUUAAACCAGGAUCAAGAACAUGUACUUGAAUAUAGCAAAACAAAACCAGAAAAUCAAGCUUGAGAUCAGGACGAAGAAGCACCAAUAGUAAAUCAACAAAAAGCGAAGUAACAUCAGAAAAAUAAUUAAAAAUCCACAAUGGAACAAUGAUCAAUCAGCCUUUAUACCAUCUUUGAAUCCCGGAAUAAGCUAGAAACCUUUGAAGGUUUCAGGAUUGAAAGACUAAUUUGAAGAAUUAGAUCAAUCUCUACAAAAAUGCAAGAGUUUUGAAGUUCUUUUUAGCUUAGUCGUUUGCAACCUUUUUCAGAAUUUUUAGUCUCUAAUAUGACUUGUGAGUGAAGAAAGCCUUUAUAGGCAAGCCUUAUGGUAGUAGAAAAAUGAAUUUAGUUUUUGCACUUUAAUCAUUUUUGAAUUUUUAUUUUUGCUCUUUGAUCCUUAGCUUAAAAAUCAGUUUUUCAGUUUAUUCUCAACCCCCACCUUCCAGGCAGCUUCCCAUUCUGUUACAUAAGAUUCCCCCACCUACAAUUCCUAAAUUAACCCUUAGGACCCCUGUUUUUACUCCUGAAACCAAACGGGUCAAGUUGAGCCAAUGAUUCAAACCCAAACCUGGGCUAGCAAGACUCGGGUUGAAUUCUUUUUCCUGGGCCUCUGCUUAACAGAACCCAUAUUCAAACCUGAAUUUAAUGAGCCAUGCAAGAUUUUCCAAGGGAAACUCGGAAAUCCUAUCUUUUGAAAACCAAAAAAAUAGUGAAGUAGCACCAAAGAAAUAAAGAAAUUAUAAUAAACAUGAACUAUUAAACUUUAAUUUAAAGCAUGUAAGCAAAAAUGAUUCAAAAACGAAAAACAAUAGCGACAAAACAGAAGAAACGAAGCGAGAAGAAAUGAAGACUGGCAUUUAAAAGAAAAAAAGAAGAAGAAAAAAUGAGAGAAAGAAAAAGAAAGCUAAAAAUACCUAAGAACCAGGCGAAUAAAUUCUGGAAUUAACCCUCAAGCCUUCAAUUUUGACCGAAAUGGGCCUUAAUCGUGUGUUCUCAAUGGAAAACACACGAAUAAGAUCAUUUUCGUCCUCAAACCUUCAUUAAACUCAGUGAUUUGCGGUAUUUGGAUUUUAGGGUUAAGAACUUCGAUUUAUGACUCGAAGAGUUUUGGACGGAUUCGAGGGAAAAGAGUUAUGGAUUGAGAAAUGGGACGUUGUGAGGCUUUUGCGGUGUUGAUUUGAGUGGAUUGGAGGCGGCGUCGCCACGGAAGAGGGUGCAGAAUUUGGGGGCGGUGCUAGACUUCCAUGGAGGGUCUCUGAUGGUGGAGGUGAUGUGAGGGAGAUAAGUUAGAGUGGGGUAGGGGGUCAUCAGACAUUUAUAUAUUAUUUGGGGCUUAGUUCCGGAUUGUUCGAUCAAGCGAGAUCG
RNAcentral lists this long non-coding RNA (1918 nucleotides) under Nicotiana benthamiana. Its description in RNAcentral is "long non-coding RNA (NBEN_LNC032441)". Lineage: Eukaryota; Viridiplantae; Streptophyta; Magnoliopsida; Solanales; Solanaceae. The record is from RNAcentral.